AAAAAAAAAAGAGAGAAGGAAAAACCGUCCUUCUAAUUUGCACAGACACUGUCAUUUGUCAAAAAAUGAGGGUUUUUAGUCAAGUUCUCAUGGGACUCCAGAAAUGACAUGUGGCUUCACUUCCCCACGUUGUGUUUAUCAGUUUCUGCUAUAAAUACAGCUCCCCCUCCUUUGAACUUUCCCCACCAUUACCAGCUAGAGCAUCGGUUUAGGUCCCUUUGAAGCUAAAUAGCUGCAAGGCUUGAUGCAUAGAAAAGUAUGGAAGAAUCUGUUAAGCUCAGGAGGGAUAGCGCCCUAAGGAUAAUCAUGGGCUCUUUUUAUGUGGUUUUUGAUUCUCAGUGGCGCUAUCCAUCCUGAGUUUCAUUGCUUCUUCUUGCUACCAGCUCCUGGCCUCUCUCUGUUGGGUCUUGAAGUGCCAUUAAUUCCAGCUUUUUUGAGAAGGUGAUUUGUUACUGGGCUAGCUUAUCCAUUUAUCAAAUUUGGUCUGGGAGGAUGAACUUGAAGAUGCUGACUGCUUCCCAUCUUCGUGCAAGUCACGGCCCUCGGUCAUGUUCUUUCGAGUCGUUUCCUUUACUUUAAUUAUAUCUAUAAAAAAAAAAUUAAGGCAAAGGUUUGUGCAAUUAAGUAAUAUCUGCACUCAUUUACAGCUUUAAUUCUGAUAUUUUGCCCCCUUUCCAGGUGACCGUGUUUCCACGCUGCUUCCGUUGCUUCCACUGAAAGAUCUCCGGUGGUUGAUAGCUUUAGACCAGUUUCCUAUAUUAUAGUAGAAUCUUUUUAGAUUUUAAUUUUCUUCACGGAAUUAAUUUACAGUGAAGUAAUUAUAAAAUGAUGUUACCAGGGCAUAGUCUAGAGAGCCACCCCAUCAAGUUCGAGGUGAUCUGCUGAGGGCCUUGGGUAAAAAAAAAUAAAGGUAUUGCCUUUACUAAAAUCCCCUUGAACUGGGCAGUACAGAUGGAAGCGUACGAGUUCGAAUGUAAAUGGAAUAACUUAACAUGAUUUUUUCUUCUUACGAAUAUCUUAAAUUCAAUUGUAAAUAGUCAAAUUAAACAAAAAUUGCUGAAGAGAUACCAGUUGUAUUGCCAAGACAACGAGGAGCUAACAAUCUGAAAGAUUUUCCUCGUAGAUAUACAUCUUUUACAUUUGGAACGAGACGCUUAAAGUAGCACAAGAACUAGGUAUCUUUUCCUCGGAGAUACCACAUUGUCUUGCUCAAACCCAGGCAAUGGGGGCUAGGAGCAUUUCUUGUUCAAGUUGUGUAAGAACAGGAUUUAGGUAUUCAUUAAUUCUAUCGUUUGUUUAUGGUUGAAGUUAUCUUCAUCAUGCGAAUAAUCGCAGGUUGCCACAGGCAGUGGGAUCGUGACAUGAUAUUUAUGAAGAGUCAAUAAUUUCACGAAGCUGAAUGGAAAUAAAGCUUUAGCCAAGACAAUAGAGGAGACAAUAUCAGUUGUAGGGGCCGGGAGAUUUCCAAUAUUUCACCUUUUUAUCCCUAUUCUGCUUGUACUCGGACCAUUUUUCACCUGUUCUUUUUCACUUGUUCUUUUUGUACUUGGAACAACCCUCCCCGACGUUUUCAGAGUUUGAGAUCUGUUUGGUUGGUUUUUUUUUUAAUUGAGCGAACUCAAAUUUACCUUCCAAUUAUUGAGGUAACAUCAGUUUUGCCCUUGAGU
Long non-coding RNA from Populus trichocarpa (black cottonwood), 1667 nucleotides. RefSeq lists it as uncharacterized. The transcript is spliced from 2 exons. NCBI's taxonomy places the organism in Eukaryota, Viridiplantae, Streptophyta, Magnoliopsida, Malpighiales, Salicaceae. The record is from RefSeq and is a predicted model, not a curated record.